This 356-nucleotide ribosomal RNA is filed under the name uncultured bacterium. RNAcentral describes it as "partial 16S ribosomal RNA". It matches the Rfam family "Bacterial small subunit ribosomal RNA", at positions 338 to 708 of the family's 1533-position model. The record is from RNAcentral.
CCUACGGGAGGCAGCAGUGGGGAAUAUUGGACAAUGGGGGGAACCCUGAUCCAGCGACGCCGCGUGAGUGAAGAAGUAUUUCGGUAUGUAAAGCUCUAUCAGCAGGGAAGAAAGAAAUGACGGUACCUGACUAAGAAGCCCCGGCUAACUACGUGCCAGCAGCCGCGGUAAUACGUAGGGGGCGAGCGUUAUCCGGAUUUACUGGGUGUAAAGGGAGCGUAGACGGCGAUGUAAGUCUGAAGUGAAAGGCGGGGGCCCAACCCACGGACGGCUUUGGAAACUGUAUGGCUGGAGUGCAGGAGAGGUAAGUGGAAUUCCUGGUGUAGCGGUGAAAUGCGUAGAUAUUAGGAAGAACA